Molecule: ribosomal RNA, 274 nt
Filed under: uncultured bacterium
Lineage: Bacteria
Description: partial 16S ribosomal RNA
Rfam family: Bacterial small subunit ribosomal RNA
Source: RNAcentral
AUACGGAGGGUGCAAGCGUUACUCGGAAUCACUGGGCGUAAAGCGCAUGCAGGCGGUCUGGAAAGUUGGGGGUGAAAUCCCGGGGCUCAACCCCGGAACUGCCUCCAAAACUUCCAAUCUAGAGAUCGAGAGAGGUGAGUGGAAUUCCAAGUGUAGAGGUGAAAUUCGUAGAUAUUUGGAGGAACACCAGUGGCGAAGGCGGCUCACUGGCUCGAUACUGACGCUGAGGUGCGAAAGCGUGGGGAGCAAACAGGAUUAGAAACCCCAGUAGUCC